RNAcentral lists this ribosomal RNA (423 nucleotides) under uncultured bacterium. RNAcentral's name for it is "bacterial SSU rRNA". It matches the Rfam family "Bacterial small subunit ribosomal RNA", at positions 207 to 622 of the family's 1533-position model. The record is from RNAcentral.
AAGACCUUGCGCUUUUGGAGCGGCCGAUGUCUGAUUAGCUAGUUGGUGAGGUAAAGGCUCACCAAGGCUCCGAUCAGUAGCUGGUCUGAGAGGACGACCAGCCACACUGGGACUGAGACACGGCCCAGACUCCUACGGGAGGCAGCAGUGGGGAAUUUUGGACAAUGGGGGCAACCCUGAUCCAGCCAUGCCGCGUGAGUGAAGAAGGCCUUCGGGUUGUAAAGCUCUUUCAGCCGGAACGAAAUAGUUACAGCUAAUACCUGUGACUUCUGACGGUACCGGAAGAAGAAGCACCGGCUAACUACGUGCCAGCAGCCGCGGUAAUACGUAGGGUGCGAGCGUUAAUCGGAAUUACUGGGCGUAAAGCGUGCGCAGGUGGUUUUGUAAGUCAGAUGUGAAAUCCCCGGGCUUAACCUGGGAACU